UACGUAGGGGGCAAGCGUUGUCCGGAAUCAUUGGGCGUAAAGAGCGUGUAGGCGGCCCGAUAAGUCCGCUGUGAAAGUCCAGGGCUCAACCCUGGAAUGCCAGUGGAAACUGUCGGGCUGGAGUCCGGAAGAGGCGAGUGGAAUUCCUGGUGUAGCGGUGGAAUGCGCAGAUAUCAGGAGGAACACCAAUAGCGAAGGCAGCUCGCUGGGACGUUACUGACACUGAGGCGCGAAAGCGUGGGGAGCGAACAGG
This 253-nucleotide ribosomal RNA is filed under the name uncultured bacterium. RNAcentral's name for it is "partial 16S ribosomal RNA". It matches the Rfam family "Bacterial small subunit ribosomal RNA", at positions 524 to 776 of the family's 1533-position model. The record is from RNAcentral.